This 584-nucleotide ribosomal RNA is filed under the name uncultured bacterium. RNAcentral's name for it is "bacterial SSU rRNA". It matches the Rfam family "Bacterial small subunit ribosomal RNA", at positions 335 to 919 of the family's 1533-position model. The record is from RNAcentral.
AUUCCUACGGGAGGCAGCAGUGAGGAAUAUUGGUCAAUGGGCGUAGGCCUGAACCAGCCAAGUAGCGUGAAGGAUGACUGCCCUAUGGGUUGUAAACUUCUUUUAUAAGGGAAUAAAGUGGAGUAUGUAUACUCUUUCGUAUGUACCUUAUGAAUAAGGAUCGGCUAACUCCGUGCCAGCAACCGCGGUAAUACGGAGGAUCCGAGCGUUAUCCGGAUUUAUUGGGUUUAAAGGGAGCGUAGGCGGAUGUUUAAGUCAGUUGUGAAAGUUUAAGGCUCAACCUUGAAAUUGCAGUUGAUACUGGACGUCUUGAGUGCAUUAAAUGUGGGCGGAAUUCGUGGUGUAGCGGUGAAAUGCCUAGAUAUCACGAAGAACUCCAAUUGCGAAGGCAGCUCACAGGACUGUAACUGACGCUGAUGCUCGAAAGUGUGGGUAUCAAACAGGAUUAGAUACCCUGGUAGUCCACACAGUAAACGAUGAAUACUCGCUGUUUGCGAUAUACAGUAAGCGGCCAAGCGAAAGCGUUAAGUAUUCCACCUGGGGAGUACGCCGGCAACGGUGAAACUCAAAUGAAUUGACGGAAU